This 261-nucleotide ribosomal RNA is filed under the name Francisella tularensis subsp. holarctica. Its description in RNAcentral is "partial 23S ribosomal RNA". It matches the Rfam family "Bacterial large subunit ribosomal RNA", at positions 459 to 721 of the family's 2925-position model. Lineage: Bacteria; Pseudomonadati; Pseudomonadota; Gammaproteobacteria; Thiotrichales; Francisellaceae. The record is from RNAcentral.
UCCAAGGCUAAAUACUCCUGAAUGACCGAUAGUGAACUAGUACCGGGAGGGAAAGGUGAAAAGAACCAUUAUAAAGGGAGUGAAAUAGAAUCUGAAACCGCUUGCAUACAAGCAGUAGGAGCAUGAUUUAGUCAUGUUACUGCGUACCUUUUGUAUAAUGGGUCAGCGAGUUAUUUUUAGUGGCGAGGAUAACUGAAUAAGGGAUCCGUAGCUAAAGAGAGUGUGAAUAGGGCGACUAGUCGCUAGGAGUAGACCCGAAAC